RNAcentral lists this long non-coding RNA (5065 nucleotides) under Homo sapiens (human). RNAcentral's name for it is "HSALNT0383883". The record is from RNAcentral. Lineage: Eukaryota; Metazoa; Chordata; Mammalia; Primates; Hominidae.
CAGAACCCUAACUGUUCACCUGACAAGACCUCAGGCAAAGCCCUGGCUCCCUCGGAGGAUCGGGGCUUUCUUGUUUGUAAAACAGGACACGGACUUUAGGAGCUCAGACACGAAUGCAUGCAAAAGCCUUACAGAGGGUUCAGGAGAGGAGACAGGACUUGAGUGUCACUUCCCCUCCUGCUGUCUUGUGGCCCUGCCAUGCACUGUGGCAAGUCUUCUGUUAUCUUCUGCCUGAGAGGCCGUGACUAAGAAGGUUCCAGACUUCCCGUCUAUCAAAGGAUGGAGGGAGAAAGGGCUCCGAAGGAGAAGGAAGAAGAAUAAGGGCAUUGGCCUCAGUCCAGAUGAAAAGACCCAGAUGCAAAAUUAUUUGGGCCACAUAUGUGUUGUUUGCUUAUCAAAUUUUCAACCUUUGAAAAAUCACAAUAUUGGAUGGUGGGAAUCAGUAGCAUUGCUGGAGUUCCUGUGGGUGGCAGGAGUUGGACAUUGUGGCAGGUGACCCUGCAAAGGAUAAACACAGAACCUGCAGAGGGUAAAGGAUUUCCCAAGUCUCACUCCUGGAGGGAGGGGCACAGGCAUGAGCAGCCUAUCGGGCCCCAUGUCAUGCAGCUAUGUUCUCUGCUGCUGGUGAGCUUGGCAUCGAAAGAAAACAUAGCAGGAAUGAUUUUGUCUGGGUUGGGGAUUUGGGGGAGUUUAGACUAUAAAUAGUGAGGAGGAUAUAAAAAGCCUUAAGAGGAUUUUUGGAAGCCCUAAAUCCACCACAUAGACCAAAGCAAGUUAACAGGAACCACUUCGGUUUUAGUGAGGUCUAAAUGUGACUCAGCAUAGUGCCCUCCCCUCCACUGUUCCCUUCCAGCUGUCGUGGUUCACGUGUCCGCUGUCACCACAACCCUUGCCAGCAUCUGCCAAACCAAGGGCACGUGUGUCAGGAGGUCUGCUGCCAGCAUGCCAGCUGCCAGGUGCUGCCUAGCCUUGAAUUACGGCCUGGCUCACUCCCUAAGGGAAGGCAUCAUUGGCAGCCUCUUCUGCAGCAGAGAAAACGGAAGCAUAGGAGGCCCCAGCUCAGGAAGCCUGAAGCCCACCCCGGUCACCGAGGUGCUCAGAAUCGAUGGAGAUCCAGAGUUGAAACCUCCCUACGUUUGGUCCUGUGUCCCCAGGGUCUGCUGCCGGCUCCUAGAUACCUACAAACAGAGGCCACAGAGAGUGGAGAUAUUGAGUAAGGAGGUGAAGAUGUGGGACCCAAGGUUCCCGGCCUCUUGAAGACAGCGUGGGGCUGCGGGUGCAGGUCAGAAGGCCUUGGAGGCCAGGUGGGUUGGAGCUGUGGGAGUGCCCCUCCUCCGCUUUCCACCCUUCUUGGGAUGGAGUCCAAAUUCUUGCCAAGGCUGAUGAAGCUGUCACAGCCUGGCCUCUGGCCGUGCCUCUCAUCCCCUCUCCCACUACCCUCCUGUCACUGCCAAUGCCCCUGCUGCCCUGCCUGCCCUCUAGCUCCUCCACCACACCAGGCUUCCUCCUGCACCAGGGCCUUUGCACGUGCUGAUCUCAAGUGGGCCCUCUGCCUGGAGCUGGGGGAGGGAGGCCUGCACCCAGGGGUGGGAGAAACUGUGCUCCUUCAUCCCUGAGUCACCAACUCCCUGCAUUGCAAAUCCUCAGUGUGAUCUCUGUUUUCUUGCUUAGUCCUGACUGAUGGUCCACCCGUCUGGCUAUCUCCUGUUUAUAUCUUCAAAUUCAGGUUAAAAGUCACUUCUUCCAGGAAGCCCUAACCAUCUCGUUCAAUGCUCUUCUCGUAUCUGACAGCCUCCACUGUGUGCUUGGGGGAGGGUAGAGAAAAAUCUUGGAUUUUUCUCUGCGUGAGGUUGGAAGCCAUGGAGGAAUUUAGAGCUGAGGAACGGCCUGAUCUGACUUCUAUUUUCACACAUCCUCUGUGUUGAGGAUUGAUGGCAGGAGGCAUGGCCAGAACAGGGAAGGCAUUUAGAAGGCUGUUGAGUUUCACCAGGUGACAGGUGGGGGUGGCUCGGCCCAGGGACGUAGCAGGGGGCGUGGUGAGAAGUGGCCGGACUCUGAACGGAUUUCAAAGUAGAAACAACCAGACUCAAUGACAGUCUAGACACGGGUGUGCUGGGGUGAAGGGAGGGGUUAACCAUGACCUCAGGCUUUAGCCUGAGCAGUGGAAAUGUGGAGUUGGCAUUUGCCGUAAUGGAGAAAGCUGGGGACAGGGCAGGGCGGCGGGGGCGUUUUGUGGUGGGGACGGGGAGGACCAGGAGCUCAGCUUGUAAAGUGCUUUAGACAUCCAAGGAGAGAAGCUGCCGGCCGCCUGGAGUUUAGGAGUCCAAGCCAGCGACGGGCUCCGAGAGUCACCCACACGUAACGUGCACCUAAAGUUAGAGAAUGACUGAGAGCGUCGCGGGAGUGAGGGUGGGUACAAAAAAGAAGCCACCCAAGAGUCGGGGCUCGGGGCACCCCGAUGCUAAGAAUGAACCAGCGAUGGAGACUGAGGAGAGGCGGCCACACAGGUGAGAGGAGAACUAGGAUAGCAGGGGCCGCUUGGCAGCCACAAGCGGAAUGUGCUUCCAGGACAAGGGGUGUCAGCCGUGUCAAAGGUGCAGGAAGGCCUCCAACAGGAGGUCAGAGAACGGCCCCCUGGAGUUAGCAGCGGACAGGCUGCGGGGGAUGGUGAUGACAGCGUGGGUGGGCUUGAGUGCAGGAGAGACUGAAAUAGUGGGUGGGGAGACUUGCUUGAGGAGUUUUGUGUUGCUAAAACGGGAAGAAUGGGAGAGUAGCUGGCGAGAGUCCUGUGGGUUUUUAAAGAUAGAUGGUAUAACCACAUGCUUGUACGUGCAUGGAGGUAACUCAGCAGGAGAAAGGGUGAUACUGUGAAGCGGCGGCUCUGGGGAGCUGGGGUAGCUUGGGAUCCAGCAGGUGAGGGAGGGGAGGUCCUCAGUGGGCCCCACCACCUGCGGCAGUGCUGUGAGGCAGAGCCCGGCGCAGGUGUGGGUGGAGGAGGAAGAUCUCUUCCGAGAAAGGAGGUAAGAAGGAAGCAAGGCUGUCAGCUGAGGGUGAGUAUGGAGGACGCCAGUUGGACAGGAGGGGUGGGCGUUUCGAGAGACUGCCAGAGGUGUGUAAUGAUGGCUGCCAGGCGACAGCAGCCGGGGUGGCUGUGUUUCUUCUCCACCUGCAUCCAGCCGAGUGGAGGGAGAGGGAGAGGACGGCAUGGAGAGGCCCGAGAGUGAAGAGCGGCGUCAUGUGACCUUUCCUGGAACCCCGGGGAAGUGAAGGCAGGAGGUCAGAGGUGAUGUGAAGGGGCGGCAGGGGCAGGAAGGCGUAAGAAGCCUUCUCAGAGCCGGGUGGGGGAGCUCUGGCACACGUGCAACUAAGGGGAAGGAUCUGGGGACAGGAAAAGAUUAGAGGGUUAGGAGUUUGGGGAACUGCCAGAGCAUGACCCUGCAGAGGGCAGGAUUCCCUGGGGACCAGGGCACCAAGGGAGGGGCAGCUUUGGAGAGGGACAGGGCAGGGGGUGCAGAAGCAAUGGUGUUUGUGCCUUCUGUGCUCUUGAGGAAAGAGAGCAGCUAAAGGGCGAGGACUUCAGCUGCAAUUCCUCAGCCCCACCCAGCCCGGCCACUUCGUGUACACCACAGCCCAGCAGGUCCCCCGCAAUGCCUAUUUUCCCAUGAUGUAUUUCUGCGCUCAGCUUCUCAAAACCAGACUUUUGUAGAGAGGGAUAACCUGCCAGCUCUUCUCCUCUGCUUGUCGCCGCGAGGACCCCACUCCCAUCCUGUCUUCUGCUCUGCUCUCUUUGCCGGGACUAGGGAGGGAGCCCCAGCUCCCAAUUCACUCUCACUCGGGAAGAACACUUAGGCCACAAACCCGAAACCCACCCUGGAGCCAAGGGGUGUCUUCACACAGGAAAAAGGCACACCCCACUGCUGGGCUUGUGGACAGUGCAACGCCAUCCUUGCGCUGCCGGGCGUGGGGACAGGGAAGGUGGGGAAAGUCAGAGUCACCGCUGCUUAGGCUGAUUUGUGUUGUAUUUAAUUUGUGGAACACAUUAAUUCUAAAUAAUACUUGAGCCUUCCUUCCCCUUCCCUCUUGUUCUUCCCCUCCUCCCUUCCCUUCCCCCCCUUUCCCUCCUUCCCUACCUCCCUUCCUUUCCACUUUUCGAUAAAUAUUUGCUUGGAGUCUGCUGUGUGCCUGAGAAAAUCUAUAUGAAGGUGAUCCAACAGAAACAGAGAGCAAGAGGUAGACCCCCAAGGAACUCGCCCAGCAGCCUCCACAGUGCCGCCCCUCGCUAACAGCAUCCUGGUUUUGCUCAAUCUGGGGCAGCAAUGUGCUCAGGGAGCGUUCCCCAGGAGAAGAGCAAAGACUGAUCGAAAGCAACCUGAGCCGCCCUGCUCACCUUGUCUACGAUUACCUGGCAGCAGAGGGUGGGCCUGUGACCCAGAUCUGGUAGGUGGGGCCUGAGAGGAAGUGGACUGGAGGGUUAGGUGCUUCCUCCCCAGGGAGAUGAAGACAUUCAAGAGAUGGAAAGUCGCUCCUGCGCUUCUUCCCUGGAGGCUGUCUUGAGAGGAUAUGAUCCUCCCAUCUGUGGCAGUCAUAUAAGAAUAGGAGAAAGGCAGGUAAAGUAUAGAAAAGCUACCUUGAGUCCCAGCAUCACUGAGCUGCUGAAUUAACAACCCUGGGUCCACUAAUACCAGUUUCUUGUUUGCAAAAUAAUGAAUUGUCCUUAUUGUCUGCACUCAUUUCAGUUGGGCACUCUCAUAUUUUGUAACCAAAGGCAUCUUACCUAUUGCAACAAAGAAGAAAUAAAGAACUACAAUUUUUCUAUCACAUGUGGCUCUGAGCCUCCUGGAUGCUGAGGUGAAAAGGGAAACGAGAUGAAUUGCCAAGCUCUCAUUCUUAGUCAGGAAGAGCUUCUCAGGGAGUUUCAGCUUUUUUGCCCCUAAAUUCCCUGUUUGACACUAAAUUUCCACAUGGGAGUUUAGGAAAGGAACACUGGGAUACAUAACUGCUAGACCCACGGUAAUCGUUUCACAGGAGAAGCAGUUUUCAAGGGCUCUUUCUUAAGAAAACUAGG